This 239-nucleotide ribosomal RNA is filed under the name uncultured Lactobacillus sp. RNAcentral's name for it is "partial 16S ribosomal RNA". It matches the Rfam family "Bacterial small subunit ribosomal RNA", at positions 123 to 355 of the family's 1533-position model. Lineage: Bacteria; Bacillati; Bacillota; Bacilli; Lactobacillales; Lactobacillaceae. The record is from RNAcentral.
AACCUGCCCAAGAGAUCGGGAUAACGCCUGGAAACAGAUGCUAAUACCGGAUAACAACAGAUGAUGCCUAUCAACUGUUUAAAAGAUGGUUCUGCUAUCACUCUUGGAUGGACCUGCGGUGCAUUAGCUAGUUGGUAGGGUAACGGCCUACCAAGGCGAUGAUGCAUAGCCGAGUUGAGAGACUGAUCGGCCACAUUGGGACUGAGACACGGCCCAAACUCCUACGGGAGGCAGCAGUU